CUGCAGUGUUAUGAGGCAACAAUGGGGACAGGCUCACAAAGAAGGACUGAGGCCUGCCAACCACCACACAUGUGAGCUCCAGGAUGGACUUGUCCUAGCUAGCCCCUGCCCCCACCCGGAAUGUGACUGGCUGCUCAUGAAAGAUGUAAUGCCAGAUGUACUGACCUAAACCAUGUCUUUGCGAUAACAGAAACAGUGAGAUAAUGCCUUUUGUCUGCUUUAAGCUACUAAAUUUUUGGCAAUUUGUUAAGCAAGAACAGAUUGAUAUAAAAAAGAUUAGAACUGAAACUAACACGGAAAUGAAAGAUGAAUGAAGAGAGAAGAAAAGGCACAGUUCUGUUUUUUUCUUCACAAGAAUCAAGCUUGAUCUUGGAAAUAAAAAGUGAAAUAUGAAAUAAGCAGUGCUCAAGUAAAGAUAUAAAAAGAAAAUAUAACAGAGAAAGAUAACCAUUUUCAGAACACAGGAGGAAUGAGGACAGAAUUUGAGAAGAGAAACCAGGUUACUCUCACUGAGUUGUCACUGGUCCCUGUUUUCAAACUUUCUGUGGCUUUGAAGCCCACAAAACAAAAACUGAGAGGGUGCCAAAAAGAGAAGAAAACGGUGCCUGUGCCCAGAUUCCAGUGUUGGAUUUUGGCAGGCAUAAGAAGAGAGAAUACCAUGCAUGAUCAAGCACAGGUACCUGCACAGUGGGCUAAUCACUCUUAUUCUUGCUGUGAGGGGGGUUUUGUGAUGUUUGUGUGUUAUCCAUCACCUGGGAAUAGCCAACACCACUCUCAACAAGUAGGAUCUUCUGGAUAUUAUGCAAGGGGAUGCAGUAAAUCUCAGGUAUAAUUAAGAGCUCAUUUGAAAUGAAUUUUAGGUUUAAACGAGGAAGAGCAGUUUGCAAAAUAGAGGAACUAUCCUGCCAGGAGAUAAUGUUUGCUAAACUGGUAAGCAUGUGAGAAGACCAAACUGAAAAUUUAAAUUAUUAUCCUCUGAAGAGUAAGAGAACGGGUC
This 997-nucleotide long non-coding RNA is filed under the name Fukomys damarensis (Damara mole-rat). RNAcentral's name for it is "lncRNA (ENSFDAG00000028807.1)". Lineage: Eukaryota; Metazoa; Chordata; Mammalia; Rodentia; Bathyergidae. The record is from RNAcentral.